This 433-nucleotide ribosomal RNA is filed under the name uncultured bacterium. Its description in RNAcentral is "partial 16S ribosomal RNA". It matches the Rfam family "Bacterial small subunit ribosomal RNA", at positions 29 to 507 of the family's 1533-position model. The record is from RNAcentral.
AACGAACGCUGGCGGCAGGCCUAACACAUGCAAGUCGAGCGCGCCCUUCGGGGUGAGCGGCGGACGGGUGAGUAACGCGUGGGAACGUGCCCUUUUCUACGGAAUAGCCUCGGGAAACUGAGAGUAAUACCGUAUACGCUCUUUGGGGGAAAGAUUUAUCGGACAAGGAUCGGCCCGCGUUGGAUUAGGUAGUUGGUGGGGUAAUGGCCUACCAAGCCGACGAUCCAUAGCUGGUUUGAGAGGAUGAUCAGCCACACUGGGACUGAGACACGGCCCAGACUCCUACGGGAGGCAGCAGUGGGGAAUCUUAGACAAUGGGGGCAACCCUGAUCUAGCCAUGCCGCGUGAGUGAUGAAGGCCUUAGGGUUGUAAAGCUCUUUCAGCUGGGAAGAUAAUGACGGUACCAGCAGAAGAAGCCCCGGCUAACUCCGUG